CCUACGGUAGGCAGCAGUGAGGAAUAUUGGUCAAUGGACGCAAGUCUGAACCAGCCAUGCCGCGUGCAGGAAGACGGCUCUAUGAGUUGUAAACUGCUUUUGUACGAGGGUAAACGCAGAUACGCGUAUCUGUCUGAAAGUAUCGUACGAAUAAGUAUCGGCUAAUUCCGUGCCAGCAGCCGCGGUAAUACGGAGGAUUCAAGCGUUAUCCGGAUUUAUUGGGUUUAAAGGGUGCGUAGGCGGUCGGAUAAGUUAGAGGUGAAAUCCCGAGGCUCAACUUCGGAAUUGCCUCUGAUACUGUUCGGCUAGAGAGUAGUUGCGGUAGGCGGAAUGUAUGGUGUAGCGGUGAAAUGCUUAGAGAUCAUACAGAACACCGAUUGCGAAGGCAGCUUACCAAGCUACUUCUGACGUUGAGGCACGAAAGCGUGGGGAGCAAACAGGAUUAGAUACCCCAGUAGUC
RNAcentral lists this ribosomal RNA (460 nucleotides) under uncultured bacterium. RNAcentral describes it as "partial 16S ribosomal RNA". It matches the Rfam family "Bacterial small subunit ribosomal RNA", at positions 338 to 795 of the family's 1533-position model. The record is from RNAcentral.